CCCCCCCACCUCUCCUAACCAUGCACACCAGACGCUCAUUCAUUCAUUCAUUAAUUAUCUCGUAAUUUGUUAAUAAUUAUGCGACCUCUCUCUAUUCUCUAGUCUCUACCCACCUCGUUUUAUUUUAUAUUUUUUUACAUUAAUUAUUAACGCCGUUACAAGCCAUUUACUCGUGUCACAGAGACCAAUAAUAACUAGUUCACGCCCAAAACGGAGCCUCACCUUAAUGUAUUCACAUUGGGUCACGAACCACGGAGGGGUGCGAAUUGAGAGCAGGGACAAGCAUAACGUGACAAAUUAGUGGUAUUUUUGGUCUUUUAAUUACUAGACCACAUUAUUAUUGUUUUAGGCCUCUUGGAACUUUAUUUUAUUUAUUUAUUUAUUUAUUAAGUAGUGUCACCGAGAGUAGAUGACUACUCUUUCUUUGACAAUGUGGUGUGAUUUAUUAUUGGUUUCGUAGCACGAGAGUUAGAGCAAAAUAUAUGUUCGUCAAAAAAUUUAUUUCUAUUUUAUUUUUUAUUCCAACGGACUAGGACAAAAGUUUAUACGAUUAUUGCUUGCACCUGGUGCACUAGUCAAUCUGUGCACUACAUCUCUCAUAGGUCCACAUAAUUUUUUAUUUCCAUAUAACCGACCGUCCCUAAUGCAAGUAACAAAUGAUUUGGUAGUUGGUACCCCUGGCCCUAAGUUUGAAUUCUAGUUGAUUUUUAUUUCCAACUAAGCUUAUUCUUUUAAAAAAUAAACGAGGUGAAUAACAUGCUACUUUUCUCUCAAAAAUAAUAUUUUUCAUUUCAAUAUAUAGUGAAUAAAUACUAAAUGAUGGGAUGGCAUAUCUUCGUUUUAAAUGAAUUUUUUUAGAUAUAUAAUUAUAAGUGUUUGCAUCUAUAAUGUUGAAAUUGCAGUAAUUUAUACAUGUAAUCUAAAAUAUCAUAUAAUUACAUAAGAAAUUAUUUAAAAGAUAUAGAGUAGUUUGUAUUUUCAUAAGUAUUGAUGAGAGUGCAUGAAAAUUAUUUUGUGAGCCUCUCACCGCUAUUCAUGAUGGUGCAUGUGGGAGGUUGCAGUACGCAUGCACCACCAUUACUAAAAAGAACAACAACAACAACAAAAUAAUAAUAAUAAUAAUAAUAAAAUAGGUUUAUCUACUAAUUCCUUAGAAAGAGGUUUUGAGGAAUUAUUACACAGUAUCAUGCCAUUGGUGUGUUCGGAGUAAUCACAUUUAUUGUAUUAAUUAAUGGACCAAGAUCUUUCCCUAUUAGUUCAACAAAACUAAUAAAUAAAUAACUCUCCAGAUCAAAUUACCAAACCACGUUGCACUAUUAUAGUAGUUUAUUUAUCAUGGAUAACACAAAAAACCACCAUAUUUAUAUUCAAAAAUAGGUCUAAAUAUUUGUUCAAUUUUUUAGGCCAAUUAAGUCAGUUUUACACCUAACACUUUUUCUCUCAUAGGUUUUAUAGACCAUUCUUUGUAAAGGUGAAAAAGUCAACUACUGGGACCUCAUCUCUAAACCUUUUUUCCACAUCGAUUUCAAACUUAAAUUUGAAAAAAAAUGUGCAUAUGCUGUUUCUCUCUUUUCCUUUGAAAACAAAAAAAAAGGACAAGACAUUAUUAUAAAAACAAAGGAAAAGGAAAAAGUUAAACCUGAGAUUAGCAACUAUUUUAGUUUGGAGUAAAAGUGAGACUACUCAAAUACACUCCUCCCAUUUACUAACCGUUGGAAAAGGUCGAAGAAAAUUUAAAAAGAGAAAGGGAAAAAAAAUUAAAACCCCAACGGUCGUCCUUCCCUCUCCCUCUCCCUCUCCAACUUUUACAGGAAUCAUGUGUUUGGAGCGAACGAAGCAAGCGCACUUAAUCAUGGCCAUGGCCAACCUCUUCCUCAGAAACACCUACCACAAUUUAUAAUUGCAUUUUAGUCCCCACAUCCCCUUCACCUUCCUAAAAUGAUCUCCUUCUUAUGGACCAGCCCUGUUCCGACAAAGCAGAGGACCCCAACAAACUCUGUCUCCCAUUAACCCGCCACUUCAAACCCAUUUCGCUUUUGAGCUCUUCUGGGUCUCUAGAUCCCCCGAAGAAGCUCCGCCCCCAGAUGGGUUUGUUGUGAAAAAUCCAAUCUUGGUGAGAAAUUUAGGGAGGAGUUGUGUUGUUAGUGAGCGUCCUCUGUUCGGGGAAGCAGCGGGGAUUAGGAUGGAGAGAUUGGGAGAAGCCAUUGUUGGGGAAGGAGAUUGCUAUAGCGAUUCGACGGAGGAGGAGUGUCGCGGGAGCAGUUCGAGCUCGGAGAAUUCGUUGAGCGGAGACCUCCCGCAGAGGCUUCGUCGAUCGGAGGGGUCGGCGGAGCCGUCGGAGGAGUUGGGUUGGCCCAUGAAGAAGAAAAGCUCGAGCUCGGAUGCGGUGGAUGGGAAUGAGAAAAUCCAUGAGGAUGAUGCAGGAGUAGAGAAGCAGAAGCGAAAUGUUUCAGGUAUUGGAUUUCUCUAUAAUUUCUCAUAUUCUCAUAUUUUAGGCAUAUUGCACAUAAAUAAUUCCUUAGUUUAUUAGCAAAUUGUUGUAAAGUGCUUGAGUUUUAUGAACUCAGAGAGUAAUUUUAGGUUUCCAUGUUAGCCUUUUAGAAAUGUAAUCUGAACAGUAAUUAAUUGCUUUUUACUUACUUUGUUUACUCUUCUUCUAAUUAAACCCCUAGAUAUAUGCUUUUUUUUUUAUAUAUAAAUUGGUUAUGUAUUGAGGCUUAUUUUUGUACUUAAUCAGAAAUUGAGAUGAUGAAGGAGAGGUUCUCCAAAUUGCUACUUGGAGAGGACAUGUCGGGCUGCGGCAAGGGGGUGUGUACAGCAUUGGCCAUUUCAAAUGCUAUUACUAAUCUUUGUGGUAAUUUUUUUAAUAUCCUAAGGUUAUUUCUUCAUAAAAUCAUAUAUAUAUAUAUUCCAGAAAUUAUCUCUGUGAGAUCUUAUAAAUUUUUUUUGUUCAUUUUACUGUCCCCAUCAGCAACAAUAUUUGGGCAAUUGUGGAGGUUGGAGCCUCUUCCUCCCGAAAAAAAGUCAAUGUGGCAAAGAGAAAUGGAGUGGCUUAUUUGUGUUAGUGAUCACAUAGUCGAAUUUUUACCCACAUGGCAAACAUUUCCUGAUGGAAGCAAGCUUGAGGUAACUUUGUUAUAAUUAUCUGACCGACUAUGCUGCGUUUUGUCAAAUUACUAUAAAAAAUUCUUUUUGUUAGUUGAAUUCUUUGAAUUUAUAGAGAAGUUUCCCGCGAUUGAUUUAGCCGUGUAAUCUGCUCCUUUAUAAAAACAGAAGCCAUAAUUGUAUUAAGGAUACAUACCUUGGCUACAUGAUAGUGAUUAAACUUCUUGCUGAAAUCGAUUUCAGGUCAUGACAUGCAGACCGCGAUCCGAUUUAUAUGCAAACCUGCCUGCCCUUCGGAAAUUAGACAACAUGCUCCUUGUAAGAACUGCAGCAUAGUAACACCCCUAAUGUAGCAAAUAUAAACCUUUGGAGGAGGGUCAUUCAGAUUAGUUUAUUUCAUUACAGGAUGUACUGGAUAGUUUCAAUGAACCAGAAUUCUGGUACGUUGAUCAAGGAAUUUCUGCACCGGAUUGCGAUGGUUCGGCCUCCUUUCGAAGAGCUUUUCAUCGCCGCGAUGAGAAGUGGUGGCUGCCAGUACCCCGGGUGCCGCCUGGGGGUCUCAGUGAGAGUACAAAGAAGCAAUUGCAGCACAAACGCGAGUGCACGAACCAGAUUUUGAAGGCUGCCAUGGCUAUAAAUAGCAAUGCUUUGGCGGAAAUUGAUGUUCCCGAGUCGUAUAUUGAGUCCUUACCAAAGGUUUGCCUUGAGAUAUUUAGAUGUUUGCCCUCUGUAGAGUUAUCUCCUUGCAUAUUUUUUACUCAAAAACUUGAAUUUCCACCAUUCAUACAACCUUGAACUUGCCAAAAACUUUCCAUAUGAAUUGGAUAAUACCCCGACUGCAAGUAACAAAUAAUGAUACUUUUAUAAGAUAUAUAUAAGUAGAUGAAUCUUCAAGUGUGUGCGAAAAAGACUUCUUGGUUAGGUUGAGCACUACUUGUUUGAUAAUGUUGAUUUGAUUCUCUUUUCUCUAUAGCAAUUAUGUUAUCUUUCACAUCGUAUCCACCGUUUUGAAAUCUUUUAGUAGCUUUUAUUUUAUGUUACAGUCUGACUGAAGUUGUUUUGUUCCUUGAUAUCAGAAUGGCAGAGCGAGCCUCGGUGACCUGAUAUACCGUUACAUCACUUCCGAUCAAUUCUUUCCCGAAUGCCUUCUCGAUUGCCUCGAUUUGUCCUCCGAACACCACGCUUUAGAAAUUGCCAAUCGUGUGGAGGCAUCGAUUUAUAUUUGGCGUCGGAGAACAACUAACAAGCCAAUGAACAACACGAGCCGAAGUAGUGCUAAAUCAUCUUGGGGCAUGGUGAAAGAUAUGAUCAUAGAUGCAGAGAAAAUUGAGUUGCUUGCCGAGAGAGCCGAGGGCCUCCUGCUUUGCUUGAAGCAAAGGUUCCCUGGGCUCACACAAACUACCUUGGAUAUGUGCAAACUCCAAUUCAACAAGGUUCGUCGAUCUUUAUUCGGUCCCUCUUUGUUUUAUCUAGAGUUGAUUACAAAUUAGGUCCUUGAAGUUCGACUCGUGAAGUAUCAGUUUGUUCCAAAGUUUUGAAGAUUCGGUCCUGAACUAAAAAGACACCACUGCAGUGUCAUCGCUCAAAUUGAAAUAUCAAACAAAACUGUCAUAUCAGCAAAUCCUCAGAACGAAUGAUGUUGAUAUGGUGUCUUUUCUUAAAUGAUUGACUGAAGGGAAGGCAUAAUUAUUGUACAGGACAAAAUUCAAGACUGAAUUGAUACGAGCUAACUCGAAAGUUCUUUUCUGUUUGGCUAAAAUUUGCAGGACGUCGGAAAGUCCAUCCUAGAAAGCUAUUCACGAGUACUGGAAAGCCUUGCCUCUAACAUUGUAGCUCGCAUCGACGAUCUGCUUUACGUAGAUGACUUGAGUAGGCAUACGGAUCAGUUCUCCUCAAUUGUUCACAACAAAGUUAUCACUUCGUCGCACUCGGUGCCUGUCUCAGGCACUCCAUUUGAAACUGCUUACGCUACCCCGAGCUACUCUCCCGCGCUGGGAAUCAGUCCGAUAAAAGGAGAGAAGGCACUUUUGCUCAAUAGGAAACUGAGUAGUCGCAGUUUUGGAGUGAAGAAAGUUUUGACAGAAUAUCUGGGUGUCGAGGUGAAGGGAAAGAACAGCAACAAUACUAACACAGCUGAGGUAUCAUCGCUAACUUUAGGGUUUGGAGCUUCUUACUGAGUGAUGUGUUGUUGCAAUCCAUAGUGAAGCGAGAUGUUAGAAAGAUAGGAUUUGUGCUUCAUGUGUUGCUUGAAACUAUUGUUGUUAUGAUUGCUGGUCAAUGUAUUAUUAGACCUCAACAAGUAUAAGGUUCCUUUUCUUUGAGAAUAUGCUCUUGUUGUUGAUCUUAGAUACAGUAAAGUGGCAUGCUGAAUGAUUAAAGGUAACUACAGAUAUGGUAGGUAAAGCAAGCAUAUCUUUAGAAAGAAAAUGAAAGCCAAGAGGUAGAUAGCAUGCCACAAGAAACAUGGCAGCUGCUCAUUGGAGGUUUUCUAAGUGCAGCACUAAUGAAUACUCGGUAAAAUAUAAGCACUAAGAUGUGAUGAAGCAGGUGACCAUGAUUACAGCUCACUCAGUGCUGCAAUAAACAAGCCACGGUGCAACCUCCAUUAAAAUCUUCAUGCAAUGUAUAUUGGCUAAAUUGUAUCGAUACUCCCUGUACUAUUCCAAUAUUACAACUUCGGUCUUGAACUUUCAAUGAACCAAAUUAGUCCCUAGAGUUUCUGAUAUAUUGCAACUACAUCUCUGACAAAACACGACAUUCCCUAUAAAACGACAUUCGUGCUCAUAUUUUAAGUCCAUAACAACACUCAAAAUCGUAGACUCUUUGAGGGUCACGGAUGGAAGUGCAACUAUGUGCGAAAGUUCAGUAACUAGGCUGUUUUCAUGAGAAGUUCAGGGGCUAAGACGCAAUAUCUCGACGCUGCAGCAUUAUGUAUACCUCUCCAGAUGGCUAUGGAAAGCACUGCAGCAUUGAAGAAUGAAGACUAAUAACAGUAUGAAGUUCCUCUGCCUUCUUGUUCUCUUUGCUGCCAUUACGGCUGUAACAGAAAUUACGAAGGCCGACGCGGCUGGGGAGUGUGGUAAGGUCCCGCCAGACCGAAUGGCCCUACGCUUGGCCCCGUGCAUCGCCGCAACACAGGAUCCGCAGGCCCAGGUCUCAGAUAGCUGCUGCUCUCAGAUUCAGAAGUUGGGCCAAAAUCCUAGUUGCCUAUGUGCUGUUAUGCUGUCGAAUACCGCGAAAAUCGUAGGGGUUAAGCCGGACGUCGCGAUAACUAUUCCUAAGCGCUGCAACCUUGUAGACCGUCCCAUCGGUUACAAAUGCGGAGGUGCGUAAAUUGUUGUCGCCAACUACAUUGUUUUUUCUUCUUUUUCACCCAUCAAUUCUUGUACUUCGUGUCAUAACCGUUUUUGUAAUGUUUGUUUGCAGCAUAUACUGUACCUUGAAGGAGAGGAGGUGUAACUGUGUAAGAGUUGCUUCUAAUGUUGUGAGGUGAAAAUGUUGGUAAAAGGCUUUAUGAAUGCCUGCUUAAAUAAAUUACUUCUAAUUUGUAACAGAAGAGUGUGCAAUAAAACUAAAAAGACUGUUGUGUUUCAGCAUCAUAGUGUUGAGUAUAUAAGACUGAAAUGUCAUUAGCUAACAAUCUAGUCUUAGAGACAAAUCGUUAUUUCACAUAGUAUACCUCAAUAAACCUGUGGACUUCUCUACUUUAAUUAUUCAACGGUUUCUGCUAAACCGUAAACUUUCCUUUUUAGGUUAAAAAUGAGAGAUACCAAAAAUGGACUUAUCAAUUGAAAAGUUGGGUUCGGACGAAGCCCAAAACUCGGUGAAACAAACUGGGGUGGGCCAUGUGUCUAAAUUGGCCGAAACGGUUCACUGAGCCUCAGGAGUAAACGGCCCAAAAUUGGGCCCAGAAUAAUUCGGCCCCUUAAGACACUGUCUAGUUUGUUUGACCCGUUUACGCAAUAAGCCUAUGGGCCGAUAUCGCGUUGCGGGUGGGCUUUGUCCUGGCCCAACAUUUCAGUUGAUAAGUCUAUUUUUGGUAUCUCUCGUUUUUAACCUAAAAUAGAGACAACUAAAUCCUGCAUCCAUCGUCGGAGUCGCCCUCUCCUGCAUCCCAUACCAUGCUCUACGAUUAUAAUUUUUUUCAUCAACAGUGAAAAUAUCUUGGACCACCACUUUAACUAUAAAGCAUUUCGAAUCAAACCCCUCAAAUUUUUUUUUUCCUACUCCUACCCAUCAAUAUUUUUUUUAUUUUAAUUUGAGAGGAUUCCAAAUAGUUACCAUUACUAUACUUGAAAGUUGUAUAAAAUGAUAAAAUUAAACUUGAUAAAAUACCCACAGUGACCCCAAAUAGUGACUAUUUAGGAAAAAUCUUCUAUUUGAUAAAUGAAAAAACAANUGCUCCAAAAGGCACUAGCAAUAUUAUUCCUUUUUUUACUACUUUUUUCUACUGCACUAGCAAAAAUAGAAGCAAGAAAAAAAAAAAAAAUUGAGAGCUUCGAUUCAAGAAGGCCUUAUUGUUUAGGGGAUCUAGUACAUCUUUACCUCCGUUUUGCAAUUGUUGCCCCGUCUAAUGAUUAUAUAAGUACAUGGAAUUUUUAUCACCACUAGUAAUCAUUUGAUCACACACAAUGUUCUUCUACCUCGAAUGCGCAAUUUAUUCAACAUCAUCUACCCAUUACUUUAAAAAUUUGCAUCUGUGCAUUCAUUCAACAGCGUGAUUAUUAUUAUAAAAAUUAGAUAUCGUCUAUCCGACGUUGUAAAACCAUCAAACACAUCCAAUCUACAAUAAUAAAUCAAAUUCAAUCUACUCAAUUGUGUUGAAGUGGUGACGAGUUUGGCAUUUAAUUUCAAUACUUUUAAAAGAUGAGUCUACAUGGGGCUCCACAUUAUACUGCCAAUCCAUGUUUAUCAGCAAGCUCUGAACUAAAUAAAAUUCAGCUGAAACAUAUCACACAAUUUCAUAAAAAUUAAAAAUACAUUGAAGAAUCUCUCAUAGAUGAAAUAAAUGAAAUGAGAAGAUUGGUUAUCGAUGCUCUAUAACUGAGACAUCUAAUGUGGUUUUUCCCAUAAAAGAGUGAAUGGUCGACACCCAAUUCAGAUUAAAUCAGAUUUAAAUCAGAUUAAACCAACUAUGAUCGAUUCAUACCAAGCAGUAAAUUGAAAGGUGUGUAGCAUAUAAUCCUAUGAUCUGCAUUAUGCCUCACCAACGAAGCUCUACGGACUAAAACACGACAGUAUCGAGCAUAGUACCCAGAGUCUGCACUAUGUUAGAGGACAUCAGGUUCGAUACGUGCUCUUCCAGAUGCUUCUUUGCAUCCUGCCGGCCGACGUUAGCAAUGGCAAGCUUCUCAGGUGGCAGCUCAUCUUCUUCCUGCACCGCUUUGUUGUAUUUAACAGCUAAAUUCAGCAUUUCCUGCACAUAAUAAACCCUUGUUAAAAUAAUCAUCAAGUUCAUGCAACUGACCCACGGAGUACAACCGAAGGGGCAUUGAGACAAGUACGGUGAAUUAACUAGCAUGAAGAAAAAGCCAAAAAUAUUUGUAGCUGGUUACAUAAGGGCUACCUAAACUGCUGGUUUAUCAAAUAAAAUACAUGACCAACCCAAGUGUUCCAACCUACCACCAAAGCCCUAUUUCGGCCAAUUUUCUUUUAUGGCCAUUAGCAUAUGAAUGUCACAGGACUUCUAAGACUGUCCCACCUGUCUUCAACUGAAAGCCAAGAUAAGCCUUGGGGAAUUUGAGUCAAUUGGCUUCAUGUAACUGACAGCCACUGGCAACAAAAUCAACAGGCAGAUGGUGGAUUGAAGCAGUCAGACUGUUCAUGUCGUUCAUUUUUUAUAUCAUAAUCUUCCGUGGCAACAGAAAUUAGCAAAAACUUCAUGGGUGUGCCAAUAUAUUUGUUUCAUACAAUAAAAAAGAACAGGAUCUAAGAUUGCAUACCUGCACAGUUUGUUCGUUGGUCUUGGAAUGCGCAUCAAACCGCCGCAGCAUUAGACCGUCAGUCCACUUCUUUUUGUGCAGGUUCAGCAACAUCUUUUCCUCCAGUUCAUUUUUCCGAUAAUUUAUGGCAAUAGAAUAAUAAUGCCGGUUCAACCCAUGAAUCAAUGCCUAAACAUAGCAAGAAAUAGGUAUAACUUUGCAAAUAAGAUAGACAAAAUAUGUACGGGAGGCAAGUUUCACUUUAACAAGAAGAGCAAACCUGAAUUGAUGGUUUGUUGAGGUGUCCAACAUUAGAUGUAGUUUGGCGAGGCUCUUGGCCGAGCAUCAUUGUCUGAGGGUUGAUCAACCGAAAAGCAUCAAUGACUACUUUGCCCUUAACACUCUGGAUUGGGUCUACCACAACUGCAACUGCUCUGGGAUUCAAUGCUUCAAAACUCUACAAAAUGUAAAAUAAAGUGAAUUACGAAGUAAUAAAAUUCUAAUACAGACUAUGAGCACACAAUUUGAGCGAGUUGUGACUUGUUAGUUAACUUGAUCACGAGCUUAAAUUAUCCAGUUAACAUUAUGUUUAUACAAGAUUAUUUGAUAUAAAAGCUGAAAAGUUGAAAACCAACAAAAACAAUUUGUAACAGAAUAAACACAACAGUCAGUUCUCGAUACUAAAGAAAAAACAUGCAUCAAAAAAUAAAAAGGAAAUCCCAGGAACACACCUGUUGCGUAUUUAUGUCAACACCAGAGAGCCAACAACCAAAGCCAGGAUGUGAGUGGUACCAUCCCACCACCAUUUCCGGUCUGUGCGGUAGAAUAAGGGGUUAUUCAGGAAAUAAACAUGCUUAAUGCAAACAAUAUGGAGGACAAGAAUGGUAGACCAAAAGAAACCUUCCAAGCUCAAGAAGUACACAAUGCAUCUCGACCACAAAUUUGGAGCAGUUUAUCAAACUUUAAGAAAGGUGGAGAAGAUAAUGUUGUAAGACUAGCCAAAAAUUAAUGCAUAAGACCUACUCUGACCACUUUCAGGACCAAUGAAUUGGCGCUAAACUGCUAAUAUAAGAAACCUCGCUUCUCACAAGCAAUAUCAUUGUGCUUUGGUACCAUUGAUAUAUAGAUAGUUUGGACAGAAAGAAACAGAAAGAGUAUGACCAUUUGCCUAAUACAAACUGGCCUGCUUCUUAUAUAGUCCUAGAUAUUGAUCUCAAAGAGUUCAAGGUUCUGCGAGAUUAUGUCAGUAACAGUUUCAUCGUCAACUCAUUUUUCUUAUCAUGUUCAUGUACAAACAAUAGCUGAAAAUUAUACUCUUAGAAGGUAUUGAGUAUGACGCAUGACUGAAAGAAUCAUCGAAUGUGGAGUCAUAAAAACCUAACGAUAUGCAACUGCCCAGAAUCAUAGAGCCAAAUAGAACUAGCUAAUUUGAAUAGGCAGUGGGUAAACUAAUUAAAAUCUACUAAAUCUGAAAAAUCUUUUGGAUAUUUCUGGCUGAAGUAUUAUUGACUAACAUAUCCAGUUUUUAAGACUAUCCUAUUAUAGGCUACUACAUGAUUUGCUAUCCAAAUUAGUCAGCUGAGAGGAGAUUUAUUCAAGCUACCUCUGGACUAUAGUAAUAUACUUCAUAGAUUGAAGUUAAAAAAAAAAAAAGAAGAGAAAACGCAAAAAGAGAAGACGAAGAGAAUACAUGAACUGUAUUUUGAUCAAUAGAUAUUCACCUGAAAAUAAGGCUUUUGUAUCUAUGCUCGUAGGAGAAAUCCCAAAUUCGACUUCUCUAAAAGGAAAAUCUUAGGACAUAAGAGUACUGAAACGUUCUGACAGCAAAUUCCAAUGUCCUUCAAAUUUCAACAGAUAAUUGCAAAUGUAGGUAAUGAGUAUGAGUAAACCUGCUCAAAAGGUUGAUACUUUCACUGGUCUUGGGACAUUGCUCCUUAGAUGGUGAGGCUUCUUCCUCGAUGCAAUGAAGAAACCCACUCUAGCAUCGACUUAAAUUCAUUCAUCUACUAUAAUCACAGCUAGUUUUUUCCAUUUCCUACAUCCUGUUUUUCAUCAAUCAGCAGGCAUGAACACUCAUUUUAGUACUUGUUGUUGUUCAUUAAUUGACUUACUUCUGGGCAUGAAAGUUGAUCCAUUACGAUCGUAGAAGAAACUAACAAUUUGCAAUCAUAUUAUUCAUCAAAUUCCGCACUCAUUUUCGUGUAAUCAUCCUUUCCCCUCUACAUUAAUUCAAUAUUUUCCGUAUGCGCGGCAUUAUACUGAAGAAUCCUAAUAAAACUAAGUGGCUAAAACUCAGAAAGCAGAAAAAUCUCAGCUUUGCAGCUCCCAUUUGUUUUACCUUCCGGUCUGCUUGAGCAUGUCGAGCAUGUUGGUCUGGAAGACGUGAUCGACGGCCUCGACGCUGACGCCGGUCCCGCUCUGCGGCAUGGCGAAGACGUCGACCACGCGCACCGUGUACUCGUCCACGAACUCCCCCAGCAUCAGCCCCAUCACCUCCAUCGGCACACCCGCCCUACCUGUUUCAGAAACCCCCCAGAGCCGAAUCAGAAACCCUAAUUUGGACACGAAUCCUAGAAGAAGAAGAUAGGAUCGGAUUGGAGGAGAUAAGGUGGGGUGAGGAGGAGUAGGGCUAGUACCGUGCUUGAGCAUCUUGAGGAGGGCGAGGGAGGAGAUGUAGACCUGCUCGGAGGAGUCGAGGAGGGGUGUGUCGGUGGGUGGGUGCCCCAUCCCCCCAGCUCCGAAGAUCCGUUGGAGACGACUAUCCAUGAUCGCUCUCGCUCUCUUGUCGUCGUCGUCGUCGUCGUCGUCUUCUUCUUCUUCUUCUUCUUCUUCUACCGCUUCUGCUUCAAUGGAAGCGGAGACGAAGACGCACAAAACAUCUGGAUCUGUUGUAAUAUAACGUACGCACCAAGCCAAGCCAAGCAGUGGGUCGGUCGGGUUAAGCCAAGUAGCUUGUUGGGCUGGAUUAGGCCAGGCCGGGCAUAUAAGAAGAGAUAGUGGGCUUUUUCUACUUUAAGUGGGCUGGUCCGGUGAAACAAAUUAUCGAUGAGAGAGAGAGUCGACUAGGCCCACUUAACUAGCUGAAAAUCUAUUUAGGUAUCUACUGUCCCAACAAAUUUUGCAUCCUACUACCAGUAGAAGAGUUCGAAGCAUAUUUAAUUAUUAAUUAAAGCAUUAUGACACUGUAAUAACCCAGCCUAGUAAUACUAAUACAAACAAUACGUGGAGGACAAAACCAAUGACUUAAAAUGCUUAGAGCCUAAGUUAUUAAUUAAUAUUGAAAUCUUUUGUCUCUAUAUACACCAUCAUAAUCCUUUUCCUAUUUUAUGUGAGAUAAUAAUUAGGAUGCCACAGACACCAUGAAGGUUAAAAUCUAAUGAUAAAAGCACUCUAUGUUCAAUUGCUGCAGAUUUAGGUUUCACGUAAAAAUAUAAGUUAGCAGUACCUUGUGUCUGCUUCCAACGCAAGUUUUUUUCAGAGUUGAUUGAUUUACCUUGACAAUCGGUAGAGAGAAGCAAGUCAAUAAGCAGAUUAGCAAAUAUCUGUUGCUCAGUGGGGGUUCUAUAUCUGCUAGAGCAAUAAAUAUGUGACCAUGUGAUGGAUCACCCUUUAUCUACCAUCACAGGAAUUAAGAAUAUUUGUUCUCUUUUCUAUAAACUUCCCCAUUGUGAGAAAGUGUUUCUCAAAGAUGAUAUUGAGGUUAAGGAACCUUAACAAUGAUCUCAACAAUCUAUUGUUCCCUAGUGCUAAACAACAUAAAAAGUUAAUAUAUGAAACAGACAGUAUCCAGAAAAAUAAUAAUAAAAAAAAAUCAUCCCAGGUUAAGUGCAAUUUUGACUAGGAAGCUUGCCUAGAGAAUGAGCACUAGUCAAGCAUAAAACUUUAAAAAAAAAAUUUAAAAAAAAAGGCAAUAACCAUACGAUAAGGCAUUUCAAUGAACGGCAGAUGCAACUAGCCAGAGUUAAAACAGGGAAAAGAAAACACUAAAUAAUGUCAGAAUUACAAUAUCUUUAAUAUAGGAGUAUGGCAAUGAUGACUCCACUUGCUUUUUGAGUUCUAUGAAGAAACAUCAGCACAAAAGCUAACAUGUUAGAUAACUGACAAACUUUACAACCACAGGGAAAUGAAGUCUUUUAGGUAUGGAGAUAAUUAGCAGCCAUCAUCAGCUCCAGAGUUAUUUCAGGUUCAAUAUGAAACUCUGUUUCCUUUCCACUGCCAUAAGAAGAAAAUUUAGAUGAGAACAGUUGAAAAGAACUUCAAAUCCAGCAAUAACUCCAGCAGUAAAAAUAUAAGGCUGCAAUGUUCUAUAUCUUGUAAGAAAAUAAUUGAAAGAAUGAAGAUAGUUUAUCAUGAAGUCAUGCCAAACAACUCAGUAGGAGACUUCUUAAUAAAAAGAAAUAUAAGACUACUCGAUAUUAGUAUUGAGAAAUUAGAUAAUGAUCAAUAAAACUGAAUAUCAAUCGUAAUGUUAUUUCUUUUGAGCCAAGAGAGUACAAUCAUUAUUAAGCAGGUACUGGUGUAACAUUAUUCCUUCCUCCGUUUGGUUCAGAGUUAAGGGAUGGAAUAACCCCUUAACUCCGAAGUUAUUCCCAAACACUCAAUUUGAGAGUUGGGGUUAGCUAACCCCAUCUAUAAAUGGGCUAUUACGGGAUAGCCCAUUUGGGGUGGGGUUAGCUAACCCCACCUAACCCCAACCAAACACUAUUUUCUAUUUAUAAUAACCCACUAUCCUUCUUAUCCCACCUACUCCAACCAAACACCAUUUUUCACUAUCUUGGACUAACUCCAACUCCUAACCAAACACAAAAAUACUCUAACCCCACCUUAACCCUGAACUUAACCCUAUCCCUGAAAUAACUAAUUUUUCCUUAACCCCAAACCAAACAGUAUUGGCAGUACCUCUGCAUUUCGACUUCGUAGUCAUGAAUAUUAAGACAGUUCUUAACUAGAUGCUAACAUUCUCCAAAGACCCAAAGUGUCAACAAAACAUUGUCCAAAGCAUUCACCAAAGACCCUAAGUGUCAACAAAACAUUGCCCAAAACAAAAGGAGAGCAACAGCUAUAAGCAAACAGAUGAAAGUAUGGGCUGUUCAAAAUUUCCUGUAAAUGCACUUCACUCAAAUGAUCGACAAAAGGAAAUGGAGGUUCUUGGUAUUAUUUAAGAUUAAGUUAGUUUGAGCAUGAUUCACUGAUGGAUCAGCCACAAUUGAGACCCAUAAAAUUGAGCCAUUUAUUAGUAUGCCAUAUAUAUCUUCUUGCAAUCACUGUUUUCAUAAGAACUUACUGCCGUGCUAAAUUUAUAAGGAGUGAAUUUCUUAGCCAAUAUGAUUAGAAAGAUUUAAGAGACGGCAAAGUCGAAACUGAAUAAACACAUAACCAGAUGAACACGAUCUAAACUCUGAAGAGAGGGUGACAAAGACCUAGUUGCUGUACUGAUAUACAAGUUCUCUUCUUGCACUUACAAUAAAUAUCAAGAGAAAACCAACUAAAAGCUUGUUUUCCAGGACAUCUUGAGAGUUGUUAACUGCAAACCAGUGAAUAUUUCGAAACAAUCUGACAAAGUAAGAAAGGGCAUCGAGAUGUUGACCAUGGUAGCAACAAAGAAGAAAAAGUUUUUGCCACAUCAUUGACCAUAAAUAUUCUUCUGUGAAAAAAUGUUCGGGAAAAAAAAAAUUCUUAUCAGAAACUCUGCUAAAGUAAGAAGCAGAAGAUACCAAGAGGCCAGUUACUGCAGCAAGAAAAUAUAAGAGGUGUAAGAUGGACAAUUUUAAAUGAGGAACAGCACUUUCUAUGCAUGAAUAUUUAAGGGCACAUGGCACUUCAAAGGCACAUUUGUUGCUUGGAUUGAGUUAAUCUAGCCUAACUCGCAAUAUCAUGUGACAGGUUUGAUGCAUGAAUGUGUAAGUUUUUCUUCAGUACCAAAAAAAAACAAUAACAUGUGACAGGUUUGAUGCAUGAAUGUGUAAGUUUUCUUCGGUACCAAAAAAUCGAAAACAGAUCGCCUUGAUUAAUGGCUAGGAUGCUAGUGUGACAACACAAAUGAAUCUUCAUGUAGAAUUUUCUUACUUAAUCUGGAUCAGUAAUUUCCACAAUUGCUGUCUAUUACACAUAUAACGACUAAUUUAGGAUACAUAGCUGUCUGCAAAGGCGUCUAAGGGACCUAAGACUGCGAACCUUAUAGUCAAUUUUCAAUAAUUAUCAUGGAAUUAGAAGAUCACUCUUUAAUACGACUACUUGACAAGUGAGCAUUCACAGUGAUUUAUUGCAAUAUAUGAAGGUGGUAAUAUUAUCUUGUAUGUGUAAAUCACCCACUCUGUUUUUCCUAUGAUGACAAUGUAAUGAAGAAUAACCCUUGAUGUCUACAAGAGACUCUUACUAAAAAUUUCAGUGUAUCAAAAAUCGCAUACUCCAAAACCUUAGUCAGGAAUCAGGAUGUCAGAAAAUCAAGUUUUUAGGAUUAAGUAGUUCAUCUGCACCAACAUCAAAAUCAUUUUUAGUUUUUCCCCAUUACUUGACAGACUGAAAAUGCCUGCAAUCGAGAACAUCAAGAUAACACAAGUUAUAAAUCCACAAUUUUUUUUUAAAGCAAGAAUACAUAUUUCCCUUCAUUCUUAUCAUCUCCAAUAUAGUUUACAUAUGAUUAAGACAAGCUAACAAAGAGAGGAUAAGAUAAUAGCCAAAGUAACAACUGUAUGAUACUCAGAUUUAAAGGUGUCUAUAUGGUAUUGCUGGUCAGAAAUGAUAUGAUGAAAUAUUGACCUAUAAUAGAUAACUGCAAUUUGUAAAAAUCCAAAAACAGGCAAUUCAGUUAGGUGAAUUUCUUUCUCAUUUUUAAGUCGACCAAAUUCUAAAGAACAAGAAGGGACUUUAAAUCCUAGAUAUUGAUACACUACGUCAUCAUUGCAGGUUCAUAACAAAAAAGAUCUUUUUUAAACAACGGUCAUAGCUUCGUAAAAUUUCAAUGCAAGCACUUAGUAUCACAGGAAAUCAUAUCUUCCCAGGAAUUAUGCAAGUUCAGCUCAACAUAAAGGAUGACUGCACUGUGAAUCCAACAGUCGAAAGCCACAAAUUUAGCGGUUCUGUAUUGUAACAAAAAUACGCAGAAUAACAACACUAGAUAUCAGCACAGAUGUAUUAGUUAGGUCCUAGAAAAGCACAAGCUACGUGAAGCCUUCUCUUGUUUCAUAACAUAUUUGUUCAUUCUCUAUGUCUGGUCAACAUUCCUAUCUAAAUGUGCCAAAAAUAACAGUCAAUUAAAAUAGUGCCAAAUGAAUUACUUUUACUUCAAACCAACUUCACGUGGUUACACACAUAUGCAAAUCAACAGUUCAACAUGCAUCAAAGCACUUUUAUGGACUCAAAUAAUUGGAAAAUAAAACAGCGAGAACAAGGAUGAGUAAUUACAUGUUUGCUCUAGUUUUUGUUGUUUUUGAUGUUGAAACGGUCUUUCUUUAUUCAUGGGCAAUGAGUUUCGACAUAUUGGGUGUAUCUGUAUUUAUCGAAGCAUUAAUUUUCGUGCUUAUCCCAAUUGUGGGUUCAGUUUAUGCAUGGCGAAAAGGAUCGUUCAGAAAAAUAGUAUUUCUAACAACUAUAGUACUUAGUAAGUUCUUCUGACUGUAAAGAAUGAAAAUUUGAUUGUAAUGGCUGCCCACACCGCUAUUACAUAAAACCUAAAGAUGCAGGUGCUAUGCAUAACAUUUGAACCAUACAACAUUUGACAUUAAGGAAAUUUUACAACAACAACAGUGCAUGAUCAAACAGAUUCCGAUACAAAGAAAUGGAAAUACCACUACAUUUGCAGUAAUUCAUUCCACAAAUCCCACAACUUAAUGAAAAUCGUCGUAGCAGUAAGACAAUCGGUAGAAUUUCACAAUCCGAUCAAACUCGUUAAGCAUAAGCUUCGUUAUCCCCAUUGCUGUGCCCGUAACAAUUUGUCUUCCUUUCGACUAGGAUUAACACCUCGACACCCCAAAUCCAAGCAAAAUCGACUAAAAACAAGACGUAACGUAGAUCAAUUAAGCGGGAUAACGCACCAACCUGGCGUAUUGAAGAGACCAAUAGAAAUAUUGGCAGAUCUUCUCGAGGAUCGGGGUGCUGAUCUCGGGAAACGUCACCUCGCCGAGCUGCGUCUCCGCGAAUCCUCCUGCGUGGUGCGAUAGAAGAGAAACCGCAUCAGAAACCCUAACCCUAACCCUAGCGUGGAGGGAUCGGAGGAGGGGAUGGAACCUGGAGAGGUGAGCAUGUUGCGGAUGGUCUGGGAGACCAUGGCGGCCUUCUUGUCGACGACGAACUCGAAACCCUCGGCGCUGAUGAGCUUCACCGUGUCCUCCUUCUUCAUCUCUUCGUCGCCCUCUCUUCUCCUUCCUCUCCCUCUCUCCCUCUCCGCCCCCGCUUUCCCCCGAUCGCUAGAAGCAGUUUUUCUGUUACGACCUUUUCUUUUCUUUUUUUUCUUCCCUGCCCUCUUAGUCUUCGUCGUUUGGAAUUACGGAGAGAUGAUGUUACGAGCGGUGGUAAAGUAGGUUGAAAAAAAUAUACUAUUUAUUUUCACGAUGAAUCAAUUACGAUAUAUCUAUAUAUUUUUUUCUUAACUCUAUUUUUUUUAAUAACAUUAGAUAAAUCUUAAUAUCAAAAUAAGUCUUAGUUUUUUACUGUUUUGGUGAACUAAGAUAAUAAUGUUAAAUAUAAAAUUAUAUAAGUAUCGUUCUCUAAUAGCUUAAAAUUUUAAAGUACAAUGAUUAUUUUAUAUAGUAUCAGAGGAAAAGAUUCUGAGUCAAGUCAUGCUAGAUCCCUAACAUAAUUAAGUUCUUCCCAUUUCAUUCAAAUUCACGUCAUGAUCCUUGCAAAAAGUCUCGAAUCCAGACAUGAGUAUUAAAUAUAAAAUUAUAUAAACACCGUUCUCUAACCGCUUAAGCUUUUAGAGACAGUUAAAAAUAGGUAUGGUGAGCUAUUUGGUUGUAUGUAUUUCUAACUGCAUUGCAGUUGAAAGUACAUACAUCUAUUAAAUUUUUAUUUGGUUUAGUGUAAUUAGACCCAAUUGUUGGAGCUGCAUCUGCACGAGAAGGCUCAACUACAGCAGUUUGACCGGAGUCGGCUCACCGAUUAAAAAAAAAAAAUGAAGUGUGAUUUUUUUCCUACGCUUUUUUUUUUUCAAAAAUACCUAUUCAUGAAAUUUGAUGGAGUUUAAUAAUGUCUAUUAGAGUCGAUAAAUUUUGUUCAUACGCUUCUUUUUUUUCAGUAUGUUACUUUAAUAAUAUCUUAAUUUUUAUUUUGACAAAUCUAUAAUAUAUUUGCAUUUAAAAUUUAAUAAAAUCAUACAUAAGUUUAUAAUAUAUAAAUGAUAUAUAAAUAUCAAAAUCUUAAUUAAUAAUUAAAACAUGAUUACAUUAUGCUCAGGAGAGGUAAUCUCACAUUUCUAACUAAAAAUUGGCAGAAUUUACAAAUACAAAUCUCAACUACAGAUUACUAAACAGAAAAAAUAUAACUGCAGUAAUUGCAACUCCAUAAACCAAACAGAUUAGAUGUAGUUAUGACCGUAGAUUUUACAACUGCAUGUAUUUCUAACUACACUACUUUUAUAAUUACAUCUAACCAAACGGCUCCGUAGUGUACAACGGUUGUUUCACAAAUAAUCCGGCUCAUCUCAGCCCUCCGUCUUGUUCCAUAUUCUAAUCUCUACCAACAAAAAAUUUACAGUAUUUUUUGUUAUUUAAAAAUAACUGCGAGCGCUGGAAAGUUAAUCUUAUAAUUUUAAAAUAAAUAAGCUGUAACUUUAAAGUUAAUUCAAUCUAAUUCUCACAACUUUUUGUGUGUUGUAAUUUGUAAUGAACUAAUUCGAUUUUCUCGUACCUACCGAGUAUGACCAGAAUUCAUUGGCGUUUAAAAUUUCAUUUCCAAUAAAAUGCUAAUUAAUCAGCAGUAAAAUAACAACAUUUAUCACACAUUCUCUCUAAAUACUAAUCUUUAUUCGAUACCACGCACUAGAUGAAUAUGACCAGAAUUCAUUGGCUCUUAAAAUUUCAUUUUCAAUAAAAUGCUAAUUAUUCAGCGAUAAAAUAACAACGUUUAUCAUGCAUUCUUUCUAAGUAAUAAUUUCCAUUCAGUUAAUAUCGAGCAUCAGAUGAAUGACAGUAGCUAAUAGUGCUACAUAAUUAUUUUUUAAUCUUUUGGCUGUUGUAAUAGCAAUUCAAUAUCUUACAGUGUUAAAAUCUUAUUUUCAGCAUCUGUCUCGCUUAUGAAAAAUAUUUGUUCUCGUUUACAAAAUUUUCUGUUGGGAUUUACUCAGUUAACCUACUUGAAACUCACUCGUAAAUCAUAAUCCAACUACAAUCGUUUAAUAUAGAUUUAAUAGUCAACAAAACAUAAUGAUUUGAAUCUGUGAACAUAGUUUUCUAGAUCGUACAAGCUCAGAAUGGGCUCGGAUUGGGAGCAAUUGUAACCUUGAACGCAUGUCGGUCCUGAACUGAUGACUAAUUAAAAUUGUAUAAACAAUGUGCACGUAUUUUAAUUCAAAUUAUUAUGUUGCUCAUAUUCAUUCCGUUCAGAGCAAAUUGCAGCAGAUUCCUCACUAAUCCAAGCCGUUAUUGUUCGUAAACCAUGCAAAAAAGUUUGUGGGUUGGGUUAUAGUAAUCGGUGUGAUUUUUAUUCGCUAUUUCUUUAAGGGGAAAAUUCCAGAUACUCUUCCUGUGAUUUCGCACUUUCUCAAUUUAGUACUAUGUGGUUUAAAGUGUAUCAAGUUAGUAUCUUGUGGGCUAUGGUUUCGUACUUUCUCACUUUAGUAUCAUGUGGUUUAAUAUUUUAUUAAAUUAUAUACAAAAAACUUCAGAUACCCUAUAUAGUUUUAUCAAAUAUUCAUUUUAAUACCCUUUAGUUUUAAUUUUGUCAUUGAUUUAACGAAAAAAAUUCUGAAAUAUAUAAUAAAAAUAGAAAAAUAAAACUAUAGGAUACUAACUUGAUAAAAAAAUAAAACCACAGAGUACUAAUUUAAUACAUUUUAAAUCACAAAGUACUAAAAUAAAAAAAAAUAGAAAACUAUAGUUUUAUUUUUCUAUUUUUAUUAUAUAUUUCAGAAUUUUUUUCGUUAAAUCAAUGACAAAAUUAAAACUAAAGGGUAUUAAAAUGAAUAUUUGAUAAAACUAUAUAGGGUAUCUGAAGUUUUUUGUAUAUAANGGAUACUAACUUGAUAAAAAAAUAAAACCACAGAGUACUAAUUUAAUACAUUUUAAAUCACAAAGUACUAAAAUAAAAAAAAAUAGAAAACUAUAAAAUAUUAAUUUGAUAUAUAUUAAAUUAUAUGAUAUUAAAAUGAAACAAUACGAAAUUAAGGUGGGGUAUUUGAAGUUUCGUCUUCUUUUAACGAGCAACCACCCAAUCAAUCAGUGGCCUAAUUUUUUUUUUCUUUUAAGAAAUCCCACCCAUUCAAUCAGAUUAUUAUUAUUCUAUACUUAUAUUCUCUUUCCAGAGUAUCUUCACUAUCUCAGAUGGCCAUAUGACUAGUGUGUCACGCAAUUAUAUUUUGUUAAAUCAUUUUCCCUCUCUUUCUUAAUCUCAUUCAUUACCUUAACAACCCGUCACGUGAUGUGGGAACCAUUACUUAAUUUAGGGCAAAAAUUUUAUAGGGAUCGUCCACAAACUAAAUAACUUUUUAGUUUAUGGACGAUGCGGAUAGACGCCGCGUGGCCCUCUCCUACGAGAAAAAAAAAAAAAAGUGGGCCUCAAUUUUUAGAGAGAGAGAAAGUGAUGGACAGGGAAGGCGAGGAUAGGCGCGCGCCAGCCACGCGGCGCCCAUUCGUAUUGUCCUAAAUUUUUAGUUUGGAGAUAAUGUCCAUAUAAUUUUUAUCCCUUAAUUCGCUAGUUCUCUACUCCAUUAAAAUUAUCCUAAAAGCUCCUUUUUCUUCGGACAUUUUGUCGAAACAAUCUUAUAAAAAUUUAGAUUUAGAUAAAUAGUUUUCUAAAUUUUUUUUUGGCAAAUUGAUCUAUAUUUUGUCAAAUAAAACAGUGAAUCGUUUAUCGUCUUUAUGAAAACUGUGAAUUAUUUAUCGCCUCCUAUUUUUUCAUAAAAGCGUUCACCAUAUUUUCCUCAAUGUAUAUCUCUCUUUUUUUUAUUUUUUAUUUAUAUCCUAACAACCAUAUAAACAUUUCAAUAAAUUAAUACAAUUUUAACUAUCUAAAAAAUCUUACUAAUCUAUCCCUACAAUCCUAACAAUUAAAUUAAAACUCUAAUAAUUCACAUACAAUUUUAACAACCUUACUCUCUUUUUUUUUUUUCUAUUUUUCAUAUAUAAUCCCAACAAUCAUAUAAAAAUUUCAACAAAUCACAUUUUUUUAAUUUUUUAUAUAUAAUUCUAACAAUCAUAUAAAAAUUUUAAUAAAUUAUAUACAAUCUUAAAAGUAUAAAAAAAAUCUAAAAAAAUGAUUCACCGUCUUAAUAGAAUAUUAUGAAGACAGUAAAUUAUACUCUUUCUCAACUUACUAGAGUUUUGUAAAAUAAUUUUAUGAAUUUUUAAUUUUGAUAAUUAAAUUUUUAAAAUUUUAUCAAAAGUUUGAUUCACUAUUUUUCAGUAAAAUUACUAAUUAAACAAUCACCGGUGAUAAUUUUUAGAUAAUUUGAUGAAAAUAUUAAAUAAAUACUCUAAAAAAGAGUAAAUUUUACGCUCUAAUUGAAAUAUAUACAUAGCAUUACUUAUUUCCUAAAGUGUCAAAAUAUAAAAAACUUAUUUUUUUUUACUUCUCCGAGUGAAACUAAAAUAUUAAAACGAAAACUAAUAUAAAUUUAACUUUCUAUUUUUUUCCCUGCAUUUUAAAGCCUGCAAAAUCACAGAUAAUAUGUUCCUGGAGAAUAGUUGUUCAAGUUGUAAUUUUAAUUAAAGAAAUUGGAAGAUUAUUUAUUAAAAAUUUAAAAUAUAGAAAGUUUGGUAUUUUUAUUUCUUAAAAAAUGGUCCAUCCCUAUCUCGCCCGUGUCUCUCUCUCUCACUCCCCUGCGACUCCACCUGCCAUUAAAGCAUACACAGUGCCGUACAGUGUGUGCUCAGGUGGACCAUCACCUCGGCAUCCGUGUUUCGACGGGAAACUCGGGCGCUCUCCCUUGCCCCCACUCUUUCCCCCUCUUCUCAAGCAAAAGAUAUUCACACACACACACACACACACACACACGCAUACGCAUACACUCUCUCUCUCUCUCUCUCUCUCUCUCUCUCUCUCUCUCUCUCUCUCUCUCUCUCUAACCACUGCAGAGAGAUUCAGAUACAGCACAAAACCCAAAGAACAAAGGCUCACAAUCACAGCGCUCCUCACUAACUCUCUCUAUCUCUCUCUCUUUCUCUGCGGAUACAGUGAUUUGAUCGCAUUAACUUAACUGCAGCAGGCGACGUCACGGCCACCGCACCCUUCCAAGCUGCCCUGUACGCACCUAACCCGUUUCAGCAGCUUUUUCAAUACACCCGGCCCACCGUAGGCAUCCAAGAACCCAGCCUUUAUUUGACUUUUCUUCGCACUCACAGUCCUGUUGCUGUAGAAGCUUUAAAUCCAGAAAUAGAUCGAACGGCAGAUUACGUACCGUCCAGCAGUUUCAUACUAUACAACUUGCCAUCGGAGGGUGGCAAUUCAGUUCCUAGUUUGGGAGCCCAUUCUAUUCUAUUCAAAAUGAGUUUGGGAUCGAAAUGCUCUAUUAGUAAACAAUUCGAAAUUUUCGAUAAACGAGUCGAACACCAGUUAGGAUCAGCUCGAUCAUAUUCGGCUUGAAAACAGUUCGAAUAUAUAUAUUUUAUAUUUAUAUAAUUUGUAUAUUUUAUAUUUGUACAUAUUAUUUAUAUAUAAUAUAUAUUUUUAUUAUUUGAUUUUUAGUUCUACCUAAAUAUAAAGUCUAACUCAAUUAUAAAAUUUUUUAUUUAUAUGUAAAAUUUUACAAAUUAGAUAAAAGUGCAAUGAAUAAAAACUCAUAAAUUUAUUUACUAUAUAUAUAUUUAAUUUUUUUAAUUUAUUAUUCAUAAGUUAGUUUGUGUUUGGCUCGUGGACAUUUUCUACUUGCAACCACUAAAACAAGAUUUUAUUUUUUAAGCAUGAUAUAUACUAUAGUGCAAACUAGCUGACAUCUUUAUUCAACAUAUAUAGUAAAAUUAUGAGUUCUGAAUCGGGGGCUUACGUAAUAGUGAUAGAGUAUGGGUGUCUAACUGUGGGCGAGGCUUUCGAAUGGUUGAGGAGACUGGUGUAGAUGGACUACGGUCCACGCAGUGAUUUCUUUAGUUUGGAGCACGCAUCAUCUUAAGCACUAAUAAUUUCUUCUUUGUUUUUCCGUCAGAGAGCAGUACGAGCGAACUCCAAUAGAAAACCGACACAUGAGCCCUUCAAAUAAUCCCACUAUCCCGGGGCCCCGAAUCUGGCUGUAAUCAUCAUCUUAGUUCAUCCUCCCCUCCCUCUCUCUCCCUCUCUCUCUCCUCUCUCUCUCUCUCCCCCCACCUAUGUUGUUACGAGAGCUUAACGCUACUACCGGUUCCUCGUGGGCCCCGCUCAUUGGGUAGGCCUUUUAUGUGGCGUCUCAUUCACGCGGGCCCACCCCCUCUUCAUUAACCACUAAGAAGGGGCCUCCCACCCGACAACUGGUCCUGAUCGACGGUCACGAUCGCCACACUCCAUUUCUCUUUAAUUAAUUAAUGAUUCGACUUUUACUAUUAUUAUUAUUAUUAUUAUUAUUAUUGGUUAAGAAGGGUGGGUCCCACUGCGGCAUCGCACGACCCCCUUCCGUUUCGGACCUCCCACGUGUGCGCGCGCGCGCGUCAUCUAAUCCCCAAAUUAGAAGCCCUUUUAGCUGCGAAUUAACUAGACCUUUACUAAAGCUAAAGACCCCUCAAUUUUAUACCAGUAACAAUUUAUUAUUAUAAAAUUCAAUGCGACCGGAUAACGUCAAUCAUACAGUUCCGGUGACACAAACCGGUCCAUCCGGUUCCUCCGCUGUUCACUCUUUCUCUCUCCUUAUUAUACUCUCACAACCACAUUACUCUCUCUCUCUCUCUCUUUCUGUGUGUGUGUCUCUCUCUCUCUUUCGCUUUCACUACUCACCAUACUCUCUCUCUCUCUCUCCGCCCUUUUUCAGAGAGAAAGAAAGAGGAAAAAGAGAGAGGAGGAGAACAAAAGAAAAGGGGACAGGCGUCUCCACCCAUACUCUCUCCAGAGCUACUGAUAUACAUCGGAUAAGCGGUAGCUACCGCAACGCAACACAAACGCACGGCGCGCCUCAAAAUUUCCCCCAAAAGCACCGAACUAAGGAUACUCUUAACGAUGUCCGCGGCCACCGGAGGGUACGGCGGUGGCGGCAUCGGCGGCGACGAGCUUUUCCAACCGCAGCAGCACCAGCACCAGCACCAGCACCAGCAGCACCAGCAAAACCGCGGCGGCGGUGGGCAGAUGUAUCACGUGCCCCAACACAGCCGCCGCGAGAAACUGCGCUUCCCACCGGAGGAAUCUCCCCCCACCUCUCUUCUGUUACUCCACGAUCCCCACGCCGCGCGUCCCCCGCCGCCGCCGCCGCCGCCGCAGCAGCAGCAGUUCUAUCCCCCGAACUUGUUCUCGACGUCGUCUUCCUCUACCUCUCACGAUCCCAGCAGCUUCGGGUUUGGUACGCCUCCCUCCGCCCAAUUCGUGCCCGCGAGCCACGCGUCCUUCCCCCACGUGUAUCAUCAUCACCCUCACUAUCAUCAUCACCAUCAUCAUCAUCAUCAUCAGAUCCCGCCGCUGCCGCUGCCGCUGCCGCUGCCGCUGCAGCAGCAGCAAGGGUUUUCGCUAUCGCUCUCCUCGUCGUCGUCGAACCCGCCACGUGGCGUGCCCGUGAGCGCAGGGCCGUGUGGGCCGUUCACGGGCUACGCCGCGGUGCUGAACCGGUCCCGGUUCCUCGGCCCGGCCCAGCAGCUUCUAGAAGAGGUGUGCCACGUGGGGCGCCGAGCGGGUGUAGGGGACGGAGGAGGAGGAGGAGAUGGGAGUGGCGAUGAAGGAGGGCUUCUCGAUAUGGAUCCGUCGGAGACGAUAUCGGCCGUCGAUCGCGGAUCGGACGGUGGCCAGGAGGGCCCGAUCGCUGCGGGGGUUGAGCAGCAGUGGAAGAAGACGAGGCUUAUCUCUUUGAUGGAGGAGGUGAGAUAAUAUUUGUUUAUUUGUACAUAUAAAAUAUAAAUUCUCCCUAUUAGUUUUAAGGCAUAUAUAAUUGUUUACAAUAUUUUUUUUUUUUAAAAUAACAUUCCUGAUGAGAUUCGCUUCGGGAAUUAUGAAAGAGAGCUCGGAAAAUAUGGGCAUGAGCUUUCAUGUCAAUAGAUUUCCGCCGCACCUGGCGAAUCUGAUAAUUAUAAAAGUGUAGGAAAUAAUGGUCACAUCAUUGAUUCAAUCAUCUUCAUUUUCUUUUUUUCUUUUUUUUUUAACAUUAAUCCCAACAGAUUAUAUAAUCUCUCGUGCUUAUUUGGUUUUAAUGAUGAUCUAUAAUUAGGUAAUUCAAGCUUAUUGAUUCACCAGAUUUUUUCUAGCUGGAUCUAAAUAUGUAGCUAAUCUUAGAUCACAGUACAAUUUUUAGGUUAUGAUUUACAUGUGAUGAAGCAUGGAUGGGAGUGUUGAGCUAAACGAGGAAAAGGAAGUGAUAUAGUGAAGUCGGUUCCUAGUCUACUAGGCAUGAUAUAAAUAGCAACAUCUGUGGAAUAUGGAAGAUUUGAGUUCACAUAUGCGAGAUAGGUGCAUAAUUUUGUUUGUUUUAAUGUUCUUUUGUGAUAGGACAUCAAGUGUUUGGUGUACUUGCCGGUUGUUAUGGAUAAUAUAUGAAGGAUAUUGUUAAGCUGUAUUCGCUGGAAAUAUUUGUGAGAGCUCUACUGUUCAUGUCUUGAUAGAGAAAAGCUUUGACGGCAGGCGGGGUCUUGUGCAUGUAGCUUUAGUUGUGUUUUGGCAACAUGCUGAGGCUGCAGAUCCAUGAACAAGUUUCUAGUUUUUACGCAUGCAUAUUUGUCUCUUAGAUGGGAGUGUUGCUUGUGAGAACUGUGCUUAGUUGUUGGAAAUUAAGAAGCAAAAUAUCUUUACUUUUUGAACGUUAUUGUUCAGUGGCUAUAUGACUUCACCUUGUUUUCUUUUUCAAAUUCCUUAUUAUGUAAACAUAGAAUGUUUGCUCAGCAACAGCCAUUGAGCUAGAAUCAAAUGAUAUCCGCCCAAGCUAAAAUUAUUUUUUGAUUUAGCAACAGAGAUUGUUCAAGAAUCAAGUUAUGUACUCCUUAUAUCGGCUGAUAAAUUAUCUGAAUUGCAAUAGGAUUUUUGAUUUUUGAUUUUUGAUUUUUUUUUUUGGUGUGCAUGAUGUUUAUUCUAGAUCUUGUAAGAAUUUGUAUUGCAAGACUUGUACUUCUUUCUUUAUGUGUUGCUAAAUGCAAUAAUGCUUACGCAUGACAGCUUUAAAAGAGCUUUUAAGAUUGAUGAGUUGUCAAAAAUACAUACGGAGAUGCAUGCAAACAUACAUAUGGUAGUAAAUGAUUGGCUCUCAUACAUUAGGUGGAUACACUUAAAAGUAGGUGAAUAGUUUUGGACAGAAAAAAAGUUAGGCAAGAGAGUAAAGAUUGUACAUACUUUUGUGUGGGUAGUUGGCUCAGAAUAGUGUUAAUUCGAUGUCUUAUUUAAACUUGGGAGAAGUUUAGGUGAAGAAAGAAUGGGCAUAUAUCAUAUUGAUCAUUGUGCUAUGCCUGAGUAUUAAACUCAAUUGAGGCCAAAUUAAUUGAAAUCUAAGUUGCUUGAUUAAACUUUUAUCCAUGCUUUGAUUCGAUGCAUAAAUCACUUACUUGAAUAUCUGCAUUUGGCUAGAAUCAAGAUAAAAAAGCUUGUUUCCCAUAUAAUUUCAUGUUCCUUCUCUGAAUAGGAAAGCCACCUUUCACUUUGUUGGCUAAAGAUUCCUACUUUUAGAGUCUGUUGACAGUAGGAGCAUGAUCUUUCUGCUUUUGCCAUCAACAUUUUCGUUUACAGUGAUUUCUUGCUUUAUUACGUGUAGUUUUGAAUAUUUCGACUUUUCCCAUGAUUUUGCUCGUAUAAAUUUCUUGCAGGUCUCCAAAAGAUACAAGCAGUACUACCAGCAGGUGCACGCAGUUAUCACAUCGUUUGAAUCCGUAGCAGGACUAAGUACCGCUGCCCCAUAUGCAUCAAUGGCCCUAAAAGCAAUGUCAAAGCACUUUAAGUGUUUAAAGAGCAUGAUAUCUAACCAGUUACGCCAAACAAAUAAGGUUCUUGGGAAAGAAGGCAUAAAUAAAGAAGAUAUUUCGAGCUUUGGUCUUGUAAGUGGUGGUAUAUGUCUCCAAAGGGCGAAUAAUAUGGGAAAUUUUGGUCAGCCCCAUGUCUGGCGACCCCAAAGAGGGCUUCCUGAACGUGCUGUGGCUGUUCUUCGUGCAUGGCUAUUCGAACACUUCUUGCACCCGUAAGUUGCUUUUUCUAUUUAAAGUAAUUACAUUACUAUGCAUUGGUUUCGUGCAGUUAAUUUUCAUCACGUGGAGGUAGCUCUCCAUUAGCUUUAUUGUUCUUUUCAUGUAAAGCUGAUUCUAUGCUGAAUAUUUCAAAGAUAUUGUUGGUCUACUAUAUUUGUAUAUUAUUCAACUUGUAACCUUCAGUCUCUAGGGUUUCACAGUAAGCCCCUCUCUUUCCUUGAUUUGCUUUUAUUUGGUUUUUGAGACUGAUUUCUGUAGGGGUUGAUAUCAAGUUUGCCGGAAUUUUAUCAGUUGUCCCUUAUAGUUUUGAGUCAUAUCUUGUGUGAUCCUUGUUGGUGAGAGAUACUGUGUAUGAUGACAGCUAGGAGGAUUCAAUUAGCUUGUCCAUGAGGAUUAAUUACUUGGAGUAUGACGUACUUCUGCGAUAUGGUAUACAGUGGGACAGCUGCUACUCCAUCUAUGUUACAUGAAUACUAUUCCUUAUUUUGAUCGUAGCGUAAUUCGCAGUGCACAAUUAGAAAAUUUGUUGACCAUAUAGUAGCAUAAAGUUGAAAAAUUGAAAUAAUGAAGUAACACUUGCGUUCGUUUGGGGUUGGCCUGUGGAACAUGUUGCACGUGGCCGGAAAGUGUGAUGAGAAUAUAUUUCAUUUGUUUCCAUUAGUGACAGCAUGUUUUGCUGCUUGCACCAGUUUGAUUAAGAUAUGAUUCAUGGAGGCUUACUGAAACUCGUUUGUCUCUAUAUACUUCUACCCGGACUUCUUUUCACCCAAAAGCAUUACGAAGUCCUCAAUAUUAAACAGGCGCUUAGGGGAUGUAGAGCAGUCCCACAAGAUUGUGUAUAGUAGUUGUGAUAUGCCAUGCACAAAUUAUGUCAUCUGAAUGACACGUUCCAAACUUAUGCAGGUAUCCGACAGACACUGACAAGCAGAUGCUGGCUAAACAGACAGGUUUAACGAGAAACCAGGUAUUAAACCUUUUGCUAUUUUCCCCUCGAAUAAAAUAUGGCAUGUUAGGUUAUGCGUUUUAUUUAUAUAAUAUCACAAAGAGCAAUACUCACCUUUCAUCAUACUGGUUCCUUUCCUAUGACAUUAAGAUUCAGUUCACUACAUCUUCAUUGAAGAACAAAAGAAAUGAACACUGUAUUCUCAUGAAUAUCCUUGAUGAGCCCUGUUCUCUAUCUCGCAGGUCUCGAAUUGGUUUAUUAAUGCGAGAGUUAGACUAUGGAAGCCAAUGGUUGAAGAAAUACACAAUCUCGAGAUGCGCCAGUCUCAGAAACUUCCAUCAGCCGAUAAUGACCAAAGCGGCAUUCAGCAAUCCCACCAGCCAUCAGAUUCCAGCUCAAACCCCUCAGGACAUAGUGGCGGCAUCGAUAAGAAUCAUAAUUCUACAUCCAAAUGCAUUCAAAGUGAUGUUUCCCAAAUACCCAAUAGUAACAUCCACGAGCCUAUCAACUUUGUAUACGAUGGACUGAACAGCCAACAGCAUAUUGGAGUCGGUGUUGGCCUUAACGGAGGAAAUGGCGGCGGUGUUUCUCUUACACUAGGCCUCCACCAAAACAAUCGGGUUUGCUUAGCUGAGCCACUUCCGUUGACCAUGGUUCAUCGCUUUGGCCUCGAGGAUUGCAACGAAGCUUACAUGAUGGGUUCGUUCGAAGGGCAAGAUCGGCAGUUCUCAAAGGAUAUUAGCGGUCAUUUACUUCAUGAUUUUGUUGGGUGAAACUUGUAGAACAGAUUAUCUAUAUGUUUGGUUAGUAUGGAUUUUACUCAUUUCUUUCUGCUUGAAGUUGAAUUAUAUACACAUUUCCAUCUUCUUACUUUGUUAGCUAAUUUUAGUGACUACAUACACAGGGUGAGAGGGAACAUAUCGGCCCAAAGAAUUCUCCCAUGCGCGAGAAAGGUAGAGGGUUUGCUUCUGGGCAAAAGAGAAAUUGUAAGUCUAUAUAGAUGAUGACAUUUCCUUCUUUGUACAAUGUGAAUUGUGUAUCUUACUUAAUGAUUAGUUAUUAAGCUCUACAAAGGAUAUGUUAUUAAUUAAAGUAGGCAAACUGGUUGAAAUAGGAGGCUAAGUAUGCAAGUUGGGAGGCCAUCUUGUAUCCUUACAGGUGGGGAGUCUCCUAAAGUAGGGACAUACCACACUUGGUUUUGCACUUCUUUCCUCACUAGCUUUGUUUUAUCUCUAUGCAACUUUUAUCUAAGAUUGCUAAUAUGUAUUCAAUUAGAUUCAUCUCUUUGGUGGAUUAUGUGUGGAUACUAUAUCGGUUACACCCAAUCCAAUGGAAAGGUACAUUGAGUUUGGAGUCCUCUUAACUACCGGGUUUACCUUAUGAUGGGCGUUGGGUAACUGAGCCCUUGAAUAUGUCGCGUUUGAUUAGAUGUAUUGGAUGCUUGGGCCUCUAUGUAGGCAAUUCUUUGAUGGAAUCCAUGCUAUUUAAUGUAUGACUUAUGUGGGACUAGUGCUCUAUGAUGGACUAUUAUAAUAUCUGUUACUGUAUCAGUUGUUGGAGGCUCUGUUAUUUUAUUGUAAUUUGUGGGACAAUGGGAUCGGGUUACACCAACCAACUUGCUAUAUAUAUAUAUAUAUAUAUAUAUAUAUAUGUUUAUAUAUANUAUAUAUAUAUAUAUAUAUAUAUAUGCUUAAUAUCACUAAUAAAAGAGUUGAUUUAUAGUGUUAGUGGAACGGUAUGUUCUUAAAAUAAUGGGAUAACUUAAAACCUUUUCUGUGGAUUCAUAUUUUUUCACUUUAGUAUUCUGUGGUCUAAAAUGUAUCAAUUUGCCCUCCUGUGGUUUUUUUUUUUAAUUAAUUAUAUUAUAUUUUUUUUAAAAUCAGUGAUAAAAUUAAAAUUAAAGGGUACUAAAGUAAAUAGUUGGUAAAUCUAGAUGGGUAUUUGAAGUUUUUUGUAUAUAAUUUAACGAAAUAUUAAGAAAAAGUUAUAGAAAAGAUAAAAAUAAAACCACAUGGGAUAAAUUGAUAUAUUUUAAAUCAUAGGGUACUAAAUUGAGAAAAUAUGAAACUAUAAGAGGGGUUUUUGAAGUUUUUUCUAAAAUAAUUGUUACUCGUGGAGUAGCGUUUUUUCCCCCUUUUCAAGAAAAAAAGGGCUAUAUAAAUUAUCAGGCGUUAAUACUUGUAGGCCUGGUUUAUGAAAUAUCCUUUCUAUGUAUCUUUAUUGAUUUUGGACAGUCGUCGAGAAUUUGGCAGACCCACUUGUAAAAAGGUAGGGCUGACAACCAGCCGAAGACGAGGUAGCUGGAGUUGGCUUAUCUUUGUUUGUUUAUUAAACAAGUCGAAUGAGUUCAUUCAUUAAAAUAUUAAGAUAAAAAAUUUAGCUUGUAUUCGAUUCGUUUAUUAAAAAGUCGAACAUGAGCGUGCUAGUGAACAACAAAUUAAAUUUUCUGGUCUGUUAUUAGUUGAAAAGUUGAAAAAAAAAUUAGAAAUUAAAAUUUUAUCUAAUAAUAAAAAUUUAUAACACACACACACACACACACACACACAUAUAUAUAUAUAUUUACAUUUGAGUUGGUAGAAAAUUCAAAUAAUAAAAAAUUAUAAUAUGCAGGAUCGAGUCCGAGCUAUCUCAGUCGAAUACGAGUGAGCUGGAAUAUCGAGUCGAAUAUGAGGAGCUAUCGAGUCGAAUACAAGCGAGUUGGUAUAUCGAUUUAAAUACAAGCGAGCUAUUUUCAACUCAUGUUUAGCACAUUAAAAUUUCGAGUUGAAAAUUUUAACUUAUAUUCGACUUAUUUAUUAAACGAAUCGUUCAAUUUCGAGCUUAUUUUGAAUUGAAUACAAAUUAACUCAUGAAUAACGAGCUAACUUGUCAGCUCUAUAAAUAAUUAUUUGGCAAAGAUAAAGUUAAAGUUUUGGUGUUGCUCUGCCUUAUAAAUUUUAUUUUUCUCCCUCAAAAGGCAAUUUGGGAUUAGAUAUUUUAUUUUAGUUUUACUAAAAUAAAACUAAAAUAAAUUAAUGAAUGAGGGUCAUUUUGCGCGGAGACAAUGGAGCUAUUCUCACAAGUGUUUGUCACGCCCCUUAUUAAAUCUCUUUUACUAGUUUCAGCAUUUGUUUAUUUUUACAUCCUAUGUUGGGUCAUUGCAUUAAAUUGGCACUGGACGUGUUUAUAAUGUCUUGGAAAUGACAUGUACUGUUCCGUAGAAUAAUUGCUUUUCUUGGAAAUGACAUACACCGGAGUGCAAGUAAUAUCAAAGGGCUAAAGCCUAAAGCGGGUGUUUUGGAUGCUUUUGCUCCCCUCGAUUUUGUAGCAUCUCUCUCUCCCUCUCUCUCUCUCUCUCUCUCUCCACUCCACUUUUUCUCCACUCACUUCCCCACUUACACUGUGGGAGCAGCACAGUGCUGAUUCCCUUAAUUAUUGGCACCCCUCUUUUGUCCUAACCACUGUAGCUUUUUCUCUGCAGUGGUACAAUACUUGGUUUUUUUUUUUUUUUGGGUAUUAUCAAGUGCUAUUUAUUUAGUGCCAUUAUUAUCAGAAAAGAUAUUGAAAAGAUAUUGCAUUAAAUUUCUUUAAUGCUUUUUAAAGCUUAGAAUCUUUUUUUCCUAUUUCUGGCGUUUUCAUAUUUAAUAUUUGUUAAAGCUUUAAUUAAAGAUGGUUAUAGUUCUGCUCAAGUAAUUGCAAAAUGAAGGCAAAGCUAAAAACCAAGAAAUAAUUGCUCAAAGGGUAAGUUUUAUUUUGGUUCUCUUCGGUAUUCAAGGCUCUGACCUUCCUAUAAACUUUUACUAUUUCAACUUUGAACUUUAAAAAUUUAUUACUUUAGUUUUUAUCUUAGAAUAAAAAUUAUACUUUAUAUCUACUUCAUCUCUCUCUCUCUAUAUAUAUACGUUUAUAUUUUCAAUCAACAUUUAAUUUUAAUAUAGAAAAUAGUUGUUAUUCAAUGGAGGGUAGUGUUAAAAUAUAAAUGAAAAGAAGACCUGAUAAAUCUAUAUAUACUACAUAGAUGUGCAAGCGCACUAGGAUAAGCAUUAAUUUAUCCUCUAAUAGGGCACAAAAAAAAAUGCUAACUAUACACCUAUAUAAUGUUGUAAAUCUUACACCUUUUGCAUCUUAGGGGUCAUUUGGUUAGAUGUAAUUAUAAAUAUAUUGUAGUUAUAAAUGCAUACAGUUAAAAAUGCAGCAGUUACAACUACAUAUAUUCUGUUUGGUUGAAUAUAGUAGAAAGCGCUGUAAAUAUAAAUAAUUUGUUUGGUUGCAUACAGUUGAGAAAUAAUUUUUAGAAUUUUAGAAUUUUAUAUAUAUGACGGUGGGAUUACCUCCAAUGUGAGAAAGAAAAAUAAUUUUUUUUAAAAAAUAAUUGAGCAGGUAAGCAUACCUUUUAUUUAAAAUUACUUUCUCCAAUAGCUGCAGUUGGAACUGCCGCCAAUUUGGGCAUAGUUCGAACUGCUGCAGUUGAGCCUCCUCCUGUAGUUCCUACUGCAGCAGUUGGAAUUAAAUACAUCAAGCCAAUCACCGAAUUUGCAUUUGCAUGCAGUUACAACUGCAAUACAGUUGCAAUUACAUCCAACCAAACGGCCUAUGAGAGUUUAUAAUUUUUUUUGUGGGGAUUUUAGUUAAAAAAAAAGAUUUGUAAGACUAAAGGGAGAAGAUGGGCUUUUGAAUAAGUGCAAUGCAGAUCCUACACCUUUACGUAACCUAUUUUGGAAAAUAUUUUACACUCAAAAUUAGAAUGUAAAUUUUAUAUUCUAUUCAUCAAAAAAUUAAAACAACUUUUUUGUAUUUUUAAUAUUAAAAAAUAGAUUUGUGGUCAGAUUAGUAUGAUAAAUUGGAUCUUUGGUUAUUAUAUAUAGUAUACUCUUGGGUAUUCUUAUACUAAUAUUUCUUAAUGUUUUGGGCAUAUAUUCUUUUUCGUAAAUUUAUAUUGCCAAGCCCAUUUACGCAGGAGAUAUGUAACUUUUCACAAAUCUUUAUCAGCCCACUACACACACAAUUGAGCUGGGCCCUUAAAGGGGCCCAAUUAUCUUGUUUGGGCCCGGAUCGAAAGAAAAGGUUCAGGUGGUUUUAAAGUUCCGCGGAAAAGCAUAAAAAAGUAUAUUUCGAGAUCAAGUUUUUCAUGAAAAUAUCCUUUUCACAGCUUUCAUUUUUUUUUUUUGAUAAAAACUUUGAAAAACGAAAAAAGUAUUUUUCAUAAAAUUUGAUUUUUUCUUUUGUUCAGAAAAUUCACUUUUUCUAUGAAUCAAAUGAACAGCAGAUAUCUUUCCGGCGAGAAAAUUAUUUUUUGAAAUAUUUUUUUGAAAAACCAAACACGCGCCGAAAAGAAAAGCCUUUGCAAAAUUAUUAUCUCAUGAUGAAGUCACGGCGACGGUCAAUCUUGUAUCUGUACAACGAUCAAAUUUUAUGCAUCUAUUCUGUAAUUAUUAAAUCCGAUAUAUUAGCUACUGUUAUAGUACUAAAAAAUACUGUAGCUCAACUUUUCUUCUUUUUUUUUUUUUUUUUUUUUUUGGGGAGAUAAAAUGUAUUGUUAUAACUCUUUUCUUCAUUACUCACCACCCUCGUUUUUGUGUGACUUACCUGGGUCUAUUUUUAGCUUUUACCUGUAGUCCAUCUGACUCAUGCAGUUUCCAUGUACGAAUUACUAAUGCCGUGAUUUAAUUCCCACCGACCACUCAUCAUGGUUUGAAAAUUUUGGAAAUUUGAUCAUAGGAUUCCCAAGGACAAGCAAGCUUUCACAUGUACCGCUCUUUUAAGUGCUUCAAAAAAAAAAAAGGGCGAAAAUAUACAUGUGACCACACCGCUAGCUAGGACUUAGAUUUGAGUAGACUUGGUCUAAUCCAACGAUCAAGGUUAGUUAAGCUAGGAUUAACAAAAUAAUAGUCACUAUUAAAUAGUUUAAGCUAAAGUCUACUUAGGCAGUCUCAAACUGUAAGAAAAAUUUUAAAAUGUGGCAUUAGGACCCAUCAAUAUAUUGCACCCAAUUUCUACAAAUUGUAGAGUUCUAUUAAAAAAAAGCCUAGAAGGCUAUCUGAGAGUUUCGACGAGGUUUGAAAACUAUUUAGAUAUUUUCGGCGCAAAUUAGAUGCGAAAAUAAACUUCAGAAACUCAAAUCUGCCAAGGCUUUAUGUCCCCCACCAAUCACAUUUGCUUCUAAAUUAAUCUUAUUUAUCUUAUCAUAAUUUUUUUCUAUCAAAAUAAAAGAUUUGAUUAGUUUGAAGCACAAUAGCAUGUUAUCAGUGCAACCUAGAAGACCACUUUUUAUUUUUUAUUAGAGAGUGUUCAGGUUUCUAUAAAAUAUGCCAGAAAAUAGUUUUUUGGUUAAUAAAAUAUUUUUCUGUCUAUUUAGUACUAAGUUGAAAAAAUAAUAAUUCUAUAGAUUUCAGGAUAGGUUGUGUUUUUAUUUUCCAAUUUUUUUCAUUAAAAAAUACAAGUUUUGAAAAACAAUAUUACUAUAAAAACUAAUUUUUUAGAUUUUUCCGAGAAAGAAAUAAAACACCACCAGGGCAGGAAAAUUUUUGAAAAAGCACUUUCAACUUUGCGUUUGGGAAAAGCCACUCGCCACUGGGGGCUCCUCGAAUUGAAGGCUAGCCUGAUGUUCAGAAGACACCAUUUAAGUCCCCUGGUGGUGGGGGAGUCCACAUUUGUACGUAUCUGCUACGAGUGCAAUUUCGAGCUUCUGAUUUAUUCGACUAUGGAGUUCAAAAAGAGCUCCAGCACAAAAAUUAAUAGACAUGGAAAUAAACAACAAAAAAUAAAAACAAUUAAACAGAGCAUUUAAUUAGUAGGCCUCACCUAACCCAUUUAAUUUACUCCAUCAGAUUCAAUUCCCCUCGAAAUAUAUACCACGACGAGAAUUACUCUGGCUCUUCCCACAGAGCGAAAACUGGCUGAACUAAAUCCACCACGUACGUCAUCCGUGAGCCAUCACCAAUUAUUUCAUAAAUUGCCGUUUAAUUAAAUAGUGUUAAUAUACAAAAAACUUGUGGAUAGCAUUUUUUUUUUUCUCAGCCAAAAAAAAAAGAAAAAGAAAAAAAUUGUUAAAUGCUGUACGUGUCGAAGGUGCAGCAAAAAUAAAAGCAUUACCAAUUAAGCAGGGAGAUUUUGAGAUUUUCCGGUUUGGUCUAAGGGAUCGAUGAGCAGGUGAAGGUAAUAAUUAAUAUUCUGGUCCAUAUAUGCAACUGGUCAAACUAAAUGACCUCAUCUUUCCGGGUUUUGAGGCCAUUGAGAAUUAACCUUAAUUAGAAGGUAGAACCCACACCGCUGAACGGGUGAGUCCUCUCUCCUUACGAAGCAAACCCACGCCUCACCACCUCGCAUUUAUUUAUAGUAACCUCAUCAUUCAUAACUCUCCUCGUCCUUGGCGGAGACGCGGAAGCCAUUUAUGUGUCACGCGUCCCGGGCCCCCGGAUACGGUGCAAUUUUGUAUACGUAGUAUUUAUCAUUUGUAUUAUUAUUAUGUACACAGUACACGUACGUACGAGUAAGUAUAGUACGUGUAGAUCCUAUCUCUAUAUAAACACCCAGUGACAAUGCUCUGGGUCUCUCUGUGGAUUGUGACUAAGAUCGAGCAGCGGUUGAGAUGAGAACCAUGCUGUGGUUACUAGUAGUGGCAAUGCUGUGGGAGGGCUCACUCUCUCAUAGCACUGUUUCUUCCACAUCCUAUCCACCUUAUUAUGCUAACUCCCCGCCACCGCCACCACCACCGCAUUAUGCGCAACCGCCACCGCAUUUGUCGCCUCCGUCACCGCACUAUUCGUCGCCACCACCGCUCCCGCAUUACGCACGGCCGCCACCGCCACCACUAUCGUAUUACACGCAACUGCCACCGCCACCGCACUAUUCGUCACCGCCACCGCCAUAUUCACCCCCGCAUUUCUCACCGCCGCCGCCACCCCACCACGUCCAACCGCCUCCACAGCACCGACAUCCGCCGCCGGCGCCGCCGCCGCCGCCGCCGCCGCCUUAUCAUAAACCACCACCAUCCCACAAGCACCCGCCACCGCACAGAGUACAUCCACCGCCGCCACACCACCGACACCUGUCACCCCCUCAUAGGCACCGACACCCGCCACCUCAUCAUGUUUACCCGCCACCUCAGCAGAAUCAGCCGCCACCACCUCAGCUUACUUAUCCACCACCUCAUCAUGCUUAUCCGCCACCUGAGCAGAGACAGCCGCCAACUCAUCAUAAUUAUCCGCCACCUCAGCAGAGACAGCCGCCACCUCAUCAUAAUUAUCCGCCACCUCAGCAGAGACAGCCGCCACCUCAGCAUGCUUAUCCGCCACCGACGCACUAUUCAUCACAGCCCCCACCACCUCACCUCUACUUGAAUCCGCCGCCGCCGCCGCCGCCACCGCAGGGAUACGCACUGCCAGUGUACGUGAAAUCGCCACCGCCGCCGUCGCCGCAUCUGUAG
RNAcentral lists this long non-coding RNA (36789 nucleotides) under Ananas comosus (pineapple). RNAcentral describes it as "long non-coding RNA (ACOM_LNC032097)". Lineage: Eukaryota; Viridiplantae; Streptophyta; Magnoliopsida; Poales; Bromeliaceae. The record is from RNAcentral.